Molecule: long non-coding RNA, 480 nt
Organism: Orcinus orca (killer whale)
Lineage: Eukaryota; Metazoa; Chordata; Mammalia; Artiodactyla; Delphinidae
Exons: 2
Source: RefSeq, a predicted model, not a curated record
GCCAUUCAGAUCUAGAGAGGAAAAAACAGUUUCUGCUUCGAGCCUUCAAAUACAAAGACGUAAAAACUGCAAAGGGUUGUGUUUCCUGAAGAGGCAAAAGCCGAGAGGAGAUUCUGAGGCCAAUAAAGACCCAUGUCUGGGGAUUAUGUUCAGGGCACGGAUGUUUAUGGACGCGUCCUAUUUCCCUGUCUCCACUCAUGACUAAUUGAAGGCCUGAUUCUCAUCCACCUCUGCACAGCUGUCCUAUGUACAAACCUCUCUUGGACAGGAACGAGAGGACCUGAAGCGGAGGCGUGGCAAAACAGAAGAACACUGGGCUUUGCAAAGAAAACCACACACCCUUGGAAGGUGGGGGACAUUUUUUAAACCUGUUUUCUGAAGGAUGCAUCUGCUGUUAAAGACAGUGUGUCUGUCUAGUCAGCACCCUUGACAGAAUUUUAAGAAUAAAAAGAUAUACACAAAGAAAAAGCUAAAAGCAAA